UAUCUCUGUGUUUCAGAAUGGCAGUGGCUGUGCAGUUCUGCAGGUGAAGGCAGCCCCAUCCCUGACCUGCAAUGGCAGUGGCUGUGCAGUGCUGCAGGUAGGUCUGUCUCUUCUUGAUGGUAGAGAUACUGUUUUAAACCCUAGUGUCUGGGGUUAUUGUGUUCUUGAGUCCAGAAGGUCUCUUUAGUGUGAGAUGGUCUUUCCUGGUGUGUAAACAGAAGGAGAUGUAUUUCAAUCACAUGUUACUGUAACAUCCUACA
Non-coding RNA from Lepisosteus oculatus (spotted gar), 260 nucleotides. The record is from RefSeq and is a predicted model, not a curated record. Lineage: Eukaryota; Metazoa; Chordata; Actinopteri; Semionotiformes; Lepisosteidae.